UACGUAGGGCGCAAGCGUUGUCCGGAAUUAUUGGGCGUAAGGAGCUCGUAGGCGGCCUGUUGCGUCCGCUGUGAAAUCCCGGGGCUCAACCCCGGGCCUGCAGUGGAUACGGGCUGGCUAGAGGCAGGCAGGGGAGAACGGAAUUCCUGGUGUAGCGGUGAAAUGCGCAGAUAUCAGGAGGAACACCGGUGGCGAAGGCGGGUCUCUGGGCAGUAACUGACGCUGAGGCGCGACAGCGUGGGGAGCAAACAGG
This 253-nucleotide ribosomal RNA is filed under the name uncultured bacterium. Its description in RNAcentral is "partial 16S ribosomal RNA". It matches the Rfam family "Bacterial small subunit ribosomal RNA", at positions 524 to 776 of the family's 1533-position model. The record is from RNAcentral.